RNAcentral lists this ribosomal RNA (1497 nucleotides) under uncultured organism. RNAcentral describes it as "SSU rRNA". It matches the Rfam family "Bacterial small subunit ribosomal RNA". The record is from RNAcentral.
AGGAUGAACGCUGGCGGCGUGCCUAAUACGUGCAAGUCGAACGAGUUCUGAUUAUUGAAAGGUGCUUGCAUCUUGAUUUAAUUUUGAACGAGUGGCGGACGGGUGAGUAACACGUGGGUAACCUGCCCUUAAGUGGGGGAUAACAUUUGGAAACAGAUGCUAAUACCGCAUAAAUCCAAGAACCGCAUGGUUCUUGGCUGAAAGAUGGCGUAAGCUAUCGCUUUUGGAUGGACCCGCGGCGUAUUAGCUAGUUGGUGAGGUAACGGCUCACCAAGGCAAUGAUACGUAGCCGAACUGAGAGGUUGAUCGGCCACAUUGGGACUGAGACACGGCCCAAACUCCUACGGGAGGCAGCAGUAGGGAAUCUUCCACAAUGGACGCAAGUCUGAUGGAGCAACGCCGCGUGAGCGAAGAAGGCUUUCGGGUCGUAAAACUCUGUUGUUGGAGAAGAAUGGUCGGCAGAGUAACUGUUGUCGGCGUGACGGUAUCCAACCAGAAAGCCACGGCUAACUACGUGCCAGCAGCCGCGGUAAUACGUAGGUGGCAAGCGUUAUCCGGAUUUAUUGGGCGUAAAGCGAGCGCAGGCGGUUUUUUAAGUCUGAUGUGAAAGCCCUCGGCUUAACCGAGGAAGUGCAUCGGAAACUGGGAAACUUGAGUGCAGAAGAGGACAGUGGAACUCCAUGUGUAGCGGUGAAAUGCGUAGAUAUAUGGAAGAACACCAGUGGCGAAGGCGGCUGUCUGGUCUGUAACUGACGCUGAGGCUCGAAAGCAUGGGUAGCGAACAGGAUUAGAUACCCUGGUAGUCCAUGCCGUAAACGAUGAAUGCUAAGGUGUUGGAGGGUUUCCGCCCUUCAGUGCCGCAGCUAACGCAUUAAGCAUUCCGCCUGGGGAGUACGACCGCAAGGUUGAAACUCAAAGGAAUUGACGGGGGCCCGCACAAGCGGUGGAGCAUGUGGUUUAAUUCGAAGCAACGCGAAGAACCUUACCAGGUCUUGACAUCUUUUGAUCACCUGAGAGAUCAGGUUUCCCCUUCGGGGGCAAAAUGACAGGUGGUGCAUGGUUGUCGUCAGCUCGUGUCGUGAGAUGUUGGGUUAAGUCCCGCAACGAGCGCAACCCUUAUGACUAGUUGCCAGCAUUUAGUUGGGCACUCUAGUAAGACUGCCGGUGACAAACCGGAGGAAGGUGAGGAUGACGUCAAAUCAUCAUGCCCCUUAUGACCUGGGCUACACACGUGCUACAAUGGAUGGUACAACGAGUUGCGAGACCGCGAGGUCAAGCUAAUCUCUUAAAGCCAUUCUCAGUUCGGACUGUAGGCUGCAACUCGCCUACACGAAGUCGGAAUCGCUAGUAAUCGCGGAUCAGCACGCCGCGGUGAAUACGUUCCCGGGCCUUGUACACACCGCCCGUCACACCAUGAGAGUUUGUAACACCCGAAGCCGGUGGCGUAACCCUUUUAGGGAGCGAGCCGUCUAAGGUGGGACAAAUGAUUAGGGUGAA